RNAcentral lists this ribosomal RNA (253 nucleotides) under uncultured bacterium. RNAcentral describes it as "partial 16S ribosomal RNA". It matches the Rfam family "Bacterial small subunit ribosomal RNA", at positions 524 to 776 of the family's 1533-position model. The record is from RNAcentral.
UACGUAGGGUGCAAGCGUUGUCCGGAAUUAUUGGGCGUAAAGAGCUCGUAGGCGGUCUGUCGCGUCUGCUGUGAAAACCCGAGGCUCAACCUCGGGCCUGCAGUGGGUACGGGCAGACUAGAGUGCGGUAGGGGAGAUUGGAAUUCCUGGUGUAGCGGUGGAAUGCGCAGAUAUCAGGAGGAACACCAAUGGCGAAGGCAGAUCUCUGGGCCGUAACUGACGCUGAGGAGCGAAAGCAUGGGGAGCGAACAGG